UUGCUUGGUAGUUGUUCAAGACUUCUAAGCAAUCUCAAGUGAGUACAUAGUCCCCUCUUUUACUGUUUUCAAUGUUUUGGGGUGCUGCUUUGUGAUGAUUGUUGAUACAUGCUACACUUAGGAUGGACUCGUGCCUUAGCGACUUUAAAACUUGAAAGAUAAUAUUUGUAUUUAUCUGAUUUGUAGUAGAACAAAGAUUUCAAUGAUUCAAUAAAACAAAAUUAUUUUAUCCAUGGUUGUGAAACAAUGAUUCUGUUACAACACUCCCCGACGU
Molecule: long non-coding RNA, 274 nt
Filed under: Helianthus annuus (common sunflower)
Lineage: Eukaryota; Viridiplantae; Streptophyta; Magnoliopsida; Asterales; Asteraceae
Description: hypothetical non coding rna
Source: RNAcentral